This 653-nucleotide ribosomal RNA is filed under the name fungal endophyte. RNAcentral's name for it is "eukaryotic LSU rRNA". The stretch from base 194 to 348 matches the Rfam family "5.8S ribosomal RNA". Lineage: Eukaryota; Fungi. The record is from RNAcentral.
ACGAGUUAGGGUCUCUCUGGCCCGACCUCCCAACCCUUUGUCUACUUGACCAUCGUUGCUUCGGCGAGCCCGUCCUCACGGACCGCCGGAGGGAUCUUUACUGGCCCUCUGGUCCGCGCUCGUCGGUAGCCCAACCUUUAAAAUCUUUAACUAAACGUGCCUUAAUCUAAGUACAAUUAUUAAAUAAAAGCAAAACUUUCAACAACGGAUCUCUUGGUUCUGGCAUCGAUGAAGAACGCAGCGAAAUGCGAUAAGUAAUGCGAAUUGCAGAAUUCCAGUGAGUCAUCGAAUCUUUGAACGCACAUUGCGCCCUUUGGUAUUCCGAAGGGCAUGCCUGUUCGAGCGUCAUUAUCACCCCUCAAGCCCUCGGCUUGGUGUUGGACGGUUUGGUGGAGGCCCCCUCGGGGGUUCCUGCCCCUCCCAAAGACAAUGACGGCGGCCUCGUUGGACCCCCGGUACACUGAGUUCUUCACGGGACACGUAUCGGACACAUGGGUUUACGGGACACGGUCUGCCUCCCCUCAGGGAGAAUCUUUCUAAGGUUGACCUCGGAUCAGGUAGGGAUACCCGCUGAACUUAAGCAUAUCAAUAAGCGGAGGAAAAGAAACCAACAGGGAUUGCCUCAGUAACGGCGAGUGAAGCGGCAACAGCUC